Long non-coding RNA from Labeo rohita (rohu), 1174 nucleotides. RefSeq lists it as uncharacterized. NCBI's taxonomy places the organism in Eukaryota, Metazoa, Chordata, Actinopteri, Cypriniformes, Cyprinidae. The record is from RefSeq and is a predicted model, not a curated record. The transcript has 3 exons.
GCUUUUUGAAGCAGGUCGUGUGAACAGAGCUGCUUCACUGAAGAGACGCGCCAACGGUUAAUCUUUGAAAACAACGUGAAUCGGUCCAUGUGAGAAGAUGCAGUGGAAGUGACUCUGCUGAUGAUCAUGUGUUCCAAGACCUUGACCUUGGAAUCCUCCUUGUUGAGCGUGAAGGUGCUGUGUCUCCGUCCUCUCUGCAUCUCAAUCCAGCCUCAUUUAAGAUUGUCAUCGAGGGAGAAGUUGUGAUGAAAAGCAUUAAAGACUUGCCAAAGGCUAUGUGCCUUCUCUUUGGACUUACAUAUGCACUUCAUCUAAGCUACCCCAAACCAUUGAAGAACACAUUUCAGUUCAUCCAGCAGGUACUUCUAAUGUUGGGCCACACUGACUUGAAGCCCAGGUUACAGACAUUAAAGAACCAGCUUGCAAUUUAAUUUUGACAGGAGUGGCUGUUUACUGUUCUUGAUGUGCACAAUUAAUCUCUGAGGUGAUUCUCUUGUUCCAAAUAUCCUGUCAUUGCUGUAAGUUAAAUUAAACCAGUUAAAUUGAAAGAGGUUAAAAGAGAAAGAGGUUAAAAGAGAAAAUAAAGAGUUAAAUUGUACCAGUUUUCUGUGGUAAAAAUGUUUAAAAUUCACAGGAGUCAUCUUUGUUUCAAAGAGUUGACUCAAGUUUUAAUGCUUAUCUAGUUUCAAUGCAUGUUUAGUCAUUCAGAGGGAUAUGGCAUAUUGUUGAAUACUAUGUGUUCAUGUUACUGUAAGCAAUCUGUACAGUUGUUGACUAGCAAAUAAGAAUUGUAUGUCAAAAAAAAAAUGUUACUUGUCUUUUGUAUGACAAGUUCAUACAUGGAGGAAUACACUGUACUGCUUGUUUUUAUGAGCAAUAAAAACAUUGGAAUGCGGUUAGUUUAUUUCUUUAACUAGUAUUAUUUCUUAAUUUUAAGGCAUUAUGUAAUAUAUCAUUUAUCAAUAGAAUUAAUAUUCAAUAAGAUUUUUUAAUAUAAAUUGUACACCAAAAAAAAAAAAAUAGUGUGAACUAAUGGUUUUCAGUAAAGACUACUAAUGCAAACCUGAUUUGUCUGUUGCACCCACUAACAUUUUUAUGUUUACAAAGCUUAACCCGUUUAGUUUUAGAUUUGUAAAAACUAAUCUUGUUUAGUGCAACGGGUUUCCACGCAAUU